UGUUUGCAUCAUAGCAGUUUGGUGCAUGCC
RNAcentral lists this non-coding RNA (30 nucleotides) under Mus musculus (house mouse). The record is from RNAcentral. Lineage: Eukaryota; Metazoa; Chordata; Mammalia; Rodentia; Muridae.